RNAcentral lists this transfer RNA (73 nucleotides) under Leptolyngbya sp. 'hensonii'. It matches the Rfam family "tRNA". From Rfam's summary of the family: Transfer RNA (tRNA) molecules are approximately 80 nucleotides in length. Their secondary structure includes four short double-helical elements and three loops (D, anti-codon, and T loops). The record is from Rfam by way of RNAcentral. Lineage: Bacteria; Bacillati; Cyanobacteriota; Cyanophyceae; Leptolyngbyales; Leptolyngbyaceae.
ACAUACUUAGCCUAAUGGAAAAGGCACUUGACUUAGGAUCAAGCAAUUGCAGGUUCAAAUCCUGUAGUGUGAC